AGCAGUAGCCGCGGUAAUACAGAGGGUGCGAGCGUUAAUCGGAUUUACUGGGCGUAAAGCGUGCGUAGGCGGCUUCUUAAGUCGGAUGUGAAAUCCCUGAGCUUAACUUAGGAAUUGCAUUCGAUACUGGGAAGCUAGAGUAUGGGAGAGGAUGGUAGAAUUCCAGGUGUAGCGGUGAAAUGCGUAGAGAUCUGGAGGAAUACCGAUGGCGAAGGCAGCCAUCUGGCCUAAUACUGACGCCGAGGUACGAAAGCAUGGGGAGCAAACAGGAUUAGAUACCCCAGUAGUCCCUGUCUCUUAUAA
Molecule: ribosomal RNA, 303 nt
Filed under: uncultured bacterium
Lineage: Bacteria
Description: partial 16S ribosomal RNA
Rfam family: Bacterial small subunit ribosomal RNA
Source: RNAcentral